Molecule: ribosomal RNA, 253 nt
Filed under: uncultured bacterium
Lineage: Bacteria
Description: partial 16S ribosomal RNA
Rfam family: Bacterial small subunit ribosomal RNA
Source: RNAcentral
UACGUAGGGUGCGAGCGUUUUCCGGAAUUAUUGGGCGUAAAGGGCUCGUAGGCGGUUUGUCGCGUCGGGAGUGAAAUCCACUGGCUUAACUGGUGGCUUGCUUUCGAUACGGGCAGACUGGAGGUAUGCAGGGGAGAACGGAAUUCCUGGUGUAGCGGUGAAAUGCGCAGAUAUCAGGAGGAACACCGGUGGCGAAGGCGGGUCUCUGGGCCGAUACUGACGCUGAGGAGCGAAAGCGUGGGGAGCGAACAGG